GACGAACGCUGGCGGCGUGCCUAACACAUGCAAGUCGAACGAGGACGGUCCUUCGGGAUCGAGCCGAGUGGCGGACGGGUGAGUAACACGUGACCAAUCUGCCUUUGAGAGGGGGAUAACCUGGGGAAACUCGGGCUAAUACCGCAUGACGUGUCGUGCUCGCAUGGGCGUGACACCAAAGGAAGCCUCUACUUGUAAGCCUUCGCUCGAAGAGGAGGUCGCGGCGUAUCAGCUAGUUGGUAGGGUAACGGCCUACCAAGGCGACGACGCGUAGCGGGUCUGAGAGGACGACCCGUCACAUUGGGACUGAGAUACGG
Molecule: ribosomal RNA, 317 nt
Filed under: uncultured bacterium
Lineage: Bacteria
Description: bacterial SSU rRNA
Rfam family: Bacterial small subunit ribosomal RNA
Source: RNAcentral